Molecule: long non-coding RNA, 3293 nt
Filed under: Salmo salar (Atlantic salmon)
Lineage: Eukaryota; Metazoa; Chordata; Actinopteri; Salmoniformes; Salmonidae
Description: lncRNA (ENSSSAG00000119698.1)
Source: RNAcentral
GCAGAACGCCCAGAAUAUGUUCUAUAAGUUAAGAUAGGCGACGAUGCCAAACACAUACAGGAACCAACUGUAUGUAACUUGUCUGUGUAAGCAGUAUAUAAGAGAUCUAACGGGACUGAGUUCACUUCAGACCGGUACUUUAUGCAUCUAAAGUUUGACUGUGACCUCUCCAGCUUGCUGUUAAUAAACAAUGAUUCAUUUAAGAUUGACUUUGAUUGUCCCAAGUGUAGAAUUUACACAACAAUUUGGCAUCAACGAACAGGAUGAUUGAUUCUGCCUGCGGUGCUUUCAAGUGACAGUCUGCGAGGAAAACCAGUGGCGCAUUUCAUGAAGCGUAAGGGAAAUUCCCAUCAGACCAAAAGAGGAAGAGGACCCGCUCAGACCAGACCCUUACUGUGAGCUGCCCAAGAGGAGACACAUCAUCCGCGAACAAUUGAGGGACAUGUCUUCCUAACUUCAGAGGCACCAAAGAAGUGCUGAAUGUGAAGAGACUAAUUCAACAAAAUAAAACAACAUCAAUUAACAACACUGCCACCAACCAAAACUUUGUGUCACUCACCCACAGUUGAUUGGGCAAUGCCAAGUAAGUCAGCAUUUCAGCAACAGCACCCAACAUCUGGUCUGUCCGUCCCUGGAUCUUCUGAAGAGCGUUCAUCCUUCCUUCAAUACCUCUCUUAUUCUACUUCCCCCUCUCGUUCUUCCUUUCCCCUCCUGAAAGUCCUCACUCUGUUUUUGCCCAUCUCUCUCCUCAUUCAUUCUCUCUUGUUUUCUCCUCCUCUCCUCCACAGUGUCACUAUUUCUCUCCUCCUCUCCUCCAGUCUGUCACUAUUUCUCUCCUCCUCUCCUCCACAGUGUCACUAUUUCUCUCCUCCUCUCCUCCACAGUGUCACUAUUUCUCUCCUCCUCUCCUCCAGUCUGUCACUAAUUCUCUCCUCCUCUCCUCCACAGUGUCACUAUUUCUCUCCUCCUCUCCUCCAGUCUGUCACUAUUUCUCUCCUCCUCUCCUCCACAGUGUCACUAUUUCUCUCCUCCUCUCCUCCAGUCUGUCACUAUUUCUCUCCUCCUCUCCUCCACAGUGUCACUAUUUCUCUCCUCCUGUCACGUCCUGACCAGUAAUAGGGGUUAUUUGUAUUAUUUGGUCAGGGCGUGGCAGAGGUAUUUUUGUUUUGUAUGGUGGUUUUUUUUUGUGUAUAGCUUAGAGGGGUGUGUUAUUUAUGUGUUCCGGGGUUUUGUGGUGUAUGUUUUAGUAUGAGUAGGUUCUAGGUUAAGUUUUCUAUGUGCAGAUUUGGUUGCUGGACUCUCAAUUGGAGGCAGGUGUUUCUAGUUGCCUCUGAUUGGGAGUCCUAUAAGUAGGUGUGUGUUUUGUUUGUCACUUGUGGGUAGUUGUAUGUUAGCACUGCUUUUGUUUAGCCUGCUACACUGUUCCUGUCGUGAGUUUUGUUUAUAGUUUUUUUUCCUCGUGUUCACAUUUAAAAUAAAUGAUGAUGAGCAUGCAAUCCGCUGCAUAUUGGUCCACUUUGUCCGACAGCGAUUUUAACAUCUUCUGACGAAGAGGAAUGUGACACAGAGGGUAUUUGUUUUAUGUGGUUCGGGGGAUAUGAGUAUUAUAGAGGGGUGUUUUAUUUAUGUAUUACGGGGUUUUGGUGUAUGUUCUGGGUUUUGUAUUCUAGGUUGGUUUUCUAGUUUGUUUAUUUCUGUGUGGCUCCCGAUCAGGAACAGCUGUACAUCGUUGUUCCUGAUUGGGAGUCAUAUAUUAGUUGCGUGUUUUCACCUGGGGAUUUGUGGGUAGUGUAUUUCGCACUGCUGUGAGUAUUAGCCUGUGAAACUGUUGGUCUGUCGUUCUUUGUUUUCUUUUUUUUUCUGUGUUCACAUUUAUUUAAUAAAAUAUAAUGAUGAACAUGCAACCCACUGCGCCUUGGUCCUCCCUCUCCUACGACAGCCGUUACAGAACUACCCACCAAAAAUGGACCAAGCAGCAGAGGAGGGAGCAACCGAUGGACUAUCGUGAGACAUGGGCAGAACUGAGGAUAAGCAUUUCCAGGGCUAUGGAGGAGUUAAGGGAGCCUGAGAGGCAGCCCCAAUAAUGUUUUGGGGGGGGGGCACACGGGUAGUUUGGCUGGGCGAGGAUUGAGCCCCAGGCCAAAUCCCCGUACCUUUUUUGGGCAACAUAUGACUGGACAGGUCCCGUGCUUUGGGGUGAUGGGUGCUGUGGCGAGGCCGGGUAUUUUCAGGCCGGUAUGCGCAGUACCAGCACCCCGCAUGUGCCAGGGGAAAGUGGGCAUCCAGCCAGUAGGGGUGAUGCCAGUCCUGCACUCGAGACCGCCAGUGCGCCUCUACGGUGUUGCGUGUUUCCCGCUACACACACUAGCCUUGAGGUCUCCAGGCUGGCACGUCCAGUACCAGCACCACGCAUCAAGCUUCCAGUGAGUCAGCCCAGUCCAACUCAGCCUGUCCCCGCUCCCCGCACUAGCCCGGAGGUGCGUGUCCCCAAACUGGCACUUCCAGCACCACGCAUCAGGCUUCCAGUGCGUCAGACCAGGUCCGAGUGUCCGGCAACAGUGCCUCGUCCAGAGUGUCCGGCAACAGUGCCUCGUCCGGAACCAGGUGAGACGGCCCGCGACCCGGAACCGAGUGAGCCUACCCGCGACCCGGAACCGAGUGAGGUUUACAAUAACUUUGAAUUGUGUUAGUCUGCCUACAACCCGGAACUGUGUGACUCUGCCUACGGUCCGGAGACAAGACUCUGCCUACAGUCUGGAGGACAGUAGGCCAGAACCUAAGCCACCUCCAGUAUAGGUGGGUUGGGGAGGGGGGGUGUAGCACAUGUGCUGUCGUUGACGGCAGCCACCCUCCCUUCCCUCCCUUUAGUUAGGGGUUUAUUUUGUUUUUUUGUUGAGGUGCACCGGGGUCUGCACCUUUAGGGGGGGGGCACUGUCACGUCCUGACCAGUAUAGGGGUUAUUUGUAUUUGUAGGUUGGUCAGGAUGUGGCAGAGGGUAUUUGUUUUAUGUGGUUCGGGGGUUAUGAGAAUUGUAGAGGGGUGUUUUAUUUAUGUAUUACGGGGUUUUGGUGUAUGUUCUGGGUUUUGUAUUCUAGGUUGGUUUUCUAGUUUGUUUAUUUCUGUUUGGUCUGUGUGGCUCCCGAUCAGGAACAGCUGUACGUCGUUGUUCCUGAUUGGGAGUCAUAUAUUAGUUGGGUGUUUUCACCUGGGGAUUUGUGGGUAGUGUAUUUCGCACUGCUGUGAGUAUUAGCCUGUGAAACUGUCGGUCUUUGUUCUUUUUUUUUCUGUGUUCA